UACGUAGGGUGCAAGCGUUAAUCGGAAUUACUGGGCGUAAAGCGUGCGCAGGCGGUUUUGUAAGUUUGUCGUGAAAGCCCCGGGCUCAACCUGGGAAUUGCGAUGAAGACUGCAAGGCUUGAAUCUGGCAGAGGGGGGUAGAAUUCCACGUGUAGCAGUGAAAUGCGUAGAGAUGCGGAGGAACACCGAUGGCGAAGGCAGCCCCCUGGGUCGACACUGACGCUCAGGCACGAAAGCGUGGGGAGCAAACAGG
RNAcentral lists this ribosomal RNA (253 nucleotides) under uncultured bacterium. RNAcentral describes it as "partial 16S ribosomal RNA". It matches the Rfam family "Bacterial small subunit ribosomal RNA", at positions 524 to 776 of the family's 1533-position model. The record is from RNAcentral.